Molecule: ribosomal RNA, 253 nt
Filed under: uncultured bacterium
Lineage: Bacteria
Description: partial 16S ribosomal RNA
Rfam family: Bacterial small subunit ribosomal RNA
Source: RNAcentral
UACGGAGGGGGCCAGCGUUGUUCGGAAUCAUUGGGCGUAAAGGGCGCGUAGGCGGCCAGGCAAGUCGGAGGUGAAAGCCCUCGGCUCAACCGAGGAAUUGCCUCCGAAACUGCCUGGCUCGAGUCCCGGAGAGGGUAGCGGAAUUCCCAGUGUAGCGGUGAAAUGCGUAGAUACUGGGAGGAACACCAGUGGCGAAGGCGGCUACCUGGACGGGUACUGACGCUGAGGCGCGAAAGCUAGGGGAGCAAACAGG